Molecule: long non-coding RNA, 3153 nt
Filed under: Marmota monax (woodchuck)
Lineage: Eukaryota; Metazoa; Chordata; Mammalia; Rodentia; Sciuridae
Source: RNAcentral
GUGGGCGCGGGUACCCCUUGCCGACGCCCAGAAGUGGCCUGGAGGAGGCAGGAAGGUCCCUUUUGUGUCCAGGCCGGCCUUGGAAUUCCCCAUCCAGGCCAGAGGGUCCCUCAGCCUCCACCAGCCACCAAGCUGUAGACCCAGCACUCGGGAGGGGAGCCCCUGCAGGGGCCUUGUGCACCUCCUCGGGCAAACAGAGAGUGCAAACAUUCCAGCCCCAGCCCCGCCCUGCCCCGGGAGCAACAGGCCCUGCCCCUGCCCCAGGUCCUCGAAACCUGCCCCCACUCCCCAUCACCGAUGGCAGCCAAGGGUCAGGCCCGGGUCCAGAGUGGGGGCAGAGUGAGGGACAGGGCAUCCACCCAUACACAGUGCCUGGUCUGAAGAAGCAGAGACCAGACUGGGCACCCCACUUCUAACCAGAGCUUCUCUGCUGACCACUGGACUAGCUGGUAACCCCCAGACUGUCAUGGACUUUGAUCUGUGAGUGGCUGCCUCUGAGGCCAAUCUUCUCCUGGCCCUGUGGCUUGAGCACUGCCCAAGGUCAGUAGAGCCCAAGACUUGGGGGGUGGGGUUCCUUCUACCCCAUGGCUGUCCAGCUGGGGGAGCUGAGGCACUGGUUACAGGGUUUUCUCUUAGCACCUUCUGCUCCCGCUGCUGCUGCAUUUCACACAGGGCCUGGCACCCCAGCCCCCUCCUGGGGCCUGGCACCCGCCUGCCCUGCGGGCAUUCCCACAGCCUUCAAAGGGCACCGUGAGGCCCAAGAGGGGCAGGGCCUUUCAUCUCUUGGGUGGCUGUAUGAUCCCUAGGGGCAUGGCUACCUCCCAAGCCCUGCCCCCCAGUGCCCUGGUAGUACCCGCCCUCCAGCCAGCACCAUCCAGCCAGCCUGAGUUCUGCCCACCACCUGAGGGAGGGGCCCUAGUACCCAGAAGGGGCAGGGGGCUAAGGCUGGGCAUACUGGCCCAGGACUGGCCUGCAAAGAUCUGGAGUUUCACCUCUCCCAGUAUCUGACCCUCAGCCCAGCCCUGCACAGCCUCCGUGCUCAGAGGGCCACUCGCACCCCCAAAUCACUCUACUGCUGGGGCUCCUGUGGCCGCGAGUCAGAAUCCCAGUCCCUGGGUGCUGAGGCUCAGCACACUCCUGUCUCCUCACUGGGGCUGGGCAUGUAGCCCAGUGCUUUGCCCCUCAGGGCCACUCAGGUCUGGCUCCUAUUGUCCACUUCUUCUCAGAGAGUCCACUCCUCCUGAGCGCCUGCUGGGCACCUGGCACACUCCCUGGCUCUUCUGCAAUGACGUCACUUUUGGAAAGUGGCACCAGCCUUUCUCCACACGUUGUGGAUGUCUCCGUCCCAGGACCCCCACCCGGUGGGAGGGCCGAUGCCACGUGUUGAUGCCUCCUGCCGUUGCCUUUUGCCCAUGGCUGUCUUGAUGCUCCUUUUUUCACCUCUCCAAGCCUAAGUCUUCACCUCUCUACAGGGACCAAGGCAGGGGGUCUCAGGGGACAGGGAGAUGUGCUGUUGAUGAAUGCUCAGCACGGUCCAAGGUGUGAGCAUGGGCUCCAGUGAGGAGGUGAGCCUCGUGGGCCACACUCAGGCCUUGUGAGGUUGGCCUACCCGGCACCUCCACUCCACAGUCUUGGGGGAGCAAAGAGCAGAGGCCAAGCCCAGAGGAGGGCCCUGGUCAGCAUGAGCCCUGGUGCCCUGCUCUGGCCUGGUCAGAUCUGAGUUCUUCUGGACAGGUCUCGAGGGGUAAGUGGGAGCUCAGGAGGGUGGAAGAGGAGGUAGCACCACAGAGCAACAAGGCCCAAGGUCUGAGGGUGGCUGUGGAACCAGGAGCAGCCAGGCCUGCGCUCUAGGACUCUAGGGUGUCCCUGAGCUUUGCCUGGCCCCAGGACCCUGGGGACAGAAAUCUGCCUGGGAAUACCAUGUUUCAGCUCCUGGAAGGCCCCUCUCUCCACCAAGCUGGGCUUCGUCCCACUCUUGGUUCGCCAGGGAGCCUCAACUCAUCUGAGAGCGAGGCCUAGGACAUAGGAGGACCCUCCCCAAAACAGAGGGACCAGAAGCCAGGGGUGACCAGGGACAGGGCCGUCCUGGCCAGGCCUAGGUCCUGGUGUGUGGGCAUUGGUGGAAACAGGGGCAUGUAGCCCGGUGGAGGCAGGCAGGGGGUCUCCCAGGACAGAAGGGCUUCUGCUCACAGUGAGGCCCAGGGUGGACCCAGUUCUAGCACCAGCCCUGUUGUAAGGACGGCCUUAGGCCUGAGCCUAAGCAACUCCAUUUUGAAACUCCAGUUUGAAACCUUCGUCUCACCAGGCACGCCUAUGGAGCCCUCCAGUAUGGCCCUCAGGCACAAACAAGUCACUUCUCCCCACCCUGACAAACUCAGAGUGAAGCCUCUGGUAUGUUGUCCUUGCCCCCAAUAAGGGGGAAAGGCAAGAAAAUCAGGGUGGGGACCACCAGACCAGAUGUUUUAACCCCAGGGUAAAUGAUGUCACUGGGAAAUCCUGGUGGCAGCUGAUAAGGAUUGAAAGGGGGUCAAAAUCCCCCAAAUUUGGUAUAAAUAAUGGAGCAAGAGAACAGACAUUCAGCCAGCCGACACUGAUGCCCUCACGCCGAGAGCCUGAUGAGGACCUGGACUGACAUCCCAACACUUUUCAUCGUUGCUGAUCCUCUGCAUCUUCCUCACCACCCUCAAACUCUACAGCCACAUCUUGGCCCUGGGGAGAGCCUCCUCAGCCAGCGGUCAGCUCCACCCCAGGAGAAGCCUGCCUGGGUUCCUGACCUGAUCACUGCGGUCUGAGUGAGUGUGCAUCUGGUCUGAGUGAGUGUGCAUCUGCUGGACUUAGAGCCUAAGGCUUGAGACUUUUGAUCUGACACUUGAACUUGGCACGCAGAGGGCAUGUCUGUCAUGAGCCUGUCACGAUUAAGUGUGUUUGCGGUGCUUGGAAUUAAUCUAGAAUGGUUUGCUGUGAACUGAUUAUGGCUACUGCAGCGACUAGCAUUAAGGAUUGCGGUCUUCUUGAUUAAGAACCUAUAGAGGGGCUGGGGAUGUGGCUCAAGCGGUAUCGCGCUCGCCUGGCAUGCGUGCGGCCCGGGUUCGAUCCUCAGCGCCACAUACAAAGAUGUUGUGUCUGCUGAAAACUAAAAAUAAAUAAGUAAAU